GGGACGGGUGAGUAACACGUGGAUAACCUACCUAUAAGACUGGGAGUAACUUCGUGAAACCGGAGCUAAUACCGGAUAAUAUAUUGAACCGCAUGGUUCAAUAGUGAAAGACGGUUUUGCUGUCACUUAUAGAUGGAUCCGCGCCGCAUUAGCUAGUUGGUAAGGUAACGGCUUACCAAGGCAACGAUGCGUAGCCGACCUGAGAGGGUGAUCGGCCACACUGGAACUGAGACACGGUCCAG
Molecule: ribosomal RNA, 242 nt
Filed under: uncultured Staphylococcus sp.
Lineage: Bacteria; Bacillati; Bacillota; Bacilli; Caryophanales; Staphylococcaceae
Description: partial 16S ribosomal RNA
Rfam family: Bacterial small subunit ribosomal RNA
Source: RNAcentral